AGUAUCAGUAUCAGCUAUAGGUAUAUAGACCAGGGGCCGUAUUCACGUCGACUUCGUGUUUGGCAUAGAUUUUAAGUCAAUGAAUGUCAGCAAUCAGCAUUUUGAUGCAGUAUUGCUUUUCUGACUACUUUUACAUACAGACACCAGGCUGCUGUUGACUAACAAUUUGUUUAUUAUAAGCCUGCCAGCAAAUCUCUGCAACAAACUGAAGCAACUCUAAGCUCAAGUGAUUGGAUCAAGUAAUAUUUCAAGAUGACAACAUGCAUUUUAGGGACUGGUGAUGAUUCUGAAGAGUACACUUGCCCAAGUCAGCCCUGGGAUACAGAGAAUAUCUAUUGCUGUGGGCUAAAUGUGGCACAAAUCUGUUGUGCAGAGGAUGAGUAUCACAAGAUUGCUGAACAUUCACAUGAAUUUGCUAAAUGGGAACUGCUGGGUCACGUGUUAUCGCUGACUCUGCUGGUGGUGGUUGGGAUCACCUUCUGCCUCUGCUGCUACUGCUGCCCUUGCUGCCCGGCGUUUCGGCACCGGCAGUCGAGGGGACGCGUUAUCCGCCCCCCCGACCCGUCGCUCGGUAUGCAAAUGAGGCCGAUGGUGACGAUGCGCCCUCCGCAGCCAGCCCCGCCGGGCGGCUCCCGGACGCACCCGCUGCCACCCAUCGCUCCGUACCCGCAGCAGGGGGCUCCGUACCCCCAGCAGCCGGCGUAUAACCCUCAGCCGGCGUACAACCCUCUGCAGUCGGCCACCUACCCGCAGCAGCCGUCGGCGCCGCCCCGGACAUUCUCCAACUCGCAAUCAUCAGUGGACAGUACGCUUUCGGACGCGCCGCCGCCGUACCCCGGAGUGAUAGCACAGCCGUCAGUCCACUGAGCAGGAGCGACUGGACUUUCCACUUGUCUUCACGUCCGCUAGAGCACCGACAAAUCGGCCGUCAUAACAGAAUAACCAUGACCUGUAUCGUGAUUGGUCCAUUAGUCGUAAGUGCCCUGUGACUGGUCUGGGGCUGACUCGUGAUGGUGAAGUCUGUCUGUCGUUUGGACUCAGGGACAAAUGACCUGUCGUUGAUGACCGUUUCUUCGGCCAAGGUCCUGUUCAUCCAUGGAGUUUGCCGUGUCGUUUACUUACUAGAGGUGAGAAUCACAAAUAUGGUAACAGCCUAACAGGUAAUCUCUAGAGUGAGUGAAGCGUCCUCACAGCCAGCGACGCACUGCUGUGUCGUGCUAGUAGCCUAAGCCGUCUAAGGUGGUAUUUGCGAUCAGACAUGUGGGACCAUACGCCCAAGUGAUAAUGGGCACUUCGGUGGAAUGGAUUCUGGAUACGGAUGAAGCUACCGAAACCCUGGCCUAGCCGUCCAACUCAUUUAGUUAAAAAAAAUCGAUUUUAUCAACAAUAUUUGAAUGCCGUAGCUUCGUGCAAUUUUGACUAUCAAGGGCAACUUUGGCCCACCUCUGGAAAACUAAUUUAUUUUGCUGUAACUUUUUUACGCUUAGGGGAAAUUGGGGCUAAACGGCCAGGGACGCCUACCAUGACCGUCUUGCCCCACUUUCCCUAAGUGUAAAACGUUGCAGCAAAACAAAUAAGUUUUCCAGGAGUGGGCCAAAAUUGCCCUUGGUGGUCAAAGUUGCACGAAACUACGGUGCUGUUCGAAUUUUUUCUUCUAUUGUUGCAUUUCCGAUGUUCCACUUAGGUGGUUAGGUAGAUUAUACCUAUGAACGGAAUUAAAGCAAUGCUGAGUGGUGGAUUUUGGCUUUACUAGAAAUGUGUAGCCUUGGGAACUUGCUAGAGCCAUGGAUUAUUAUUCAGUAGUUCAACCAUAAAAAGACGUGAAGAGUUAGCAUUGCAGUCUGAUAUGCAUAUGAACUGUCAAGUGUCAGUAUUACAGCGCAUAUGCUGAAUCUAGUUUUAGGGCACGUCUGCUGCUUUUUGGGCAGAUUCUGUUUUGUUACCUCAGGUAAUUUAUUCGCUAACUAGAUUUGCGUUUUAUAUCGUUAUUUACGCAUUGUGUCUCGCAUUUAUGUAGGUGGACAUUUUUCUGGUGUCGGUGCGCACAGGCACCGUAAUACUCAGGAUUUAGCUGUUGAUUUCGGGCUGUCACGCUGUGUUUGCAGUCUGUGUCUGCUAACCGACAGAACACCUAGUCAGUGUGCAUCAUUAUCUGUAUCAUCGUGUGAUGGAGGAAUCUUGCCAUGUAAGAGGACGUCAUCGCACUUUUUGCCUUUUUUUUUUGUUGUUGUUAGUAAUCCAAAAUGAAGCGUCUACAGUACCAGAAAUAUUGCUAGACAUUCAAACGCAAUAUCAGACGAAUUUAUGUGAUUGGUACAUGUGUAGGUACACGAAAUGUGUAAACUAGUUACAAAGGGGGUUUAUGCUGCAGACGUGUUUUAAUCUAACCGUCGAAACUGAAGCGGAAAACUUUUGUUACUGCUUGCAGCUUAGUGUAAGUGCGCUGCAUAUUCGCUGAUAAAUGAUACAUCGUACAACUGCUG
Amphibalanus amphitrite is the source of this 2483-nucleotide long non-coding RNA. RefSeq lists it as uncharacterized. The transcript has 5 exons. The record is from RefSeq and is a predicted model, not a curated record. NCBI's taxonomy places the organism in Eukaryota, Metazoa, Arthropoda, Thecostraca, Balanomorpha, Balanidae.